GACCGAAUGCUGCGUUGUGAUAG
This 23-nucleotide microRNA is filed under the name Gadus morhua (Atlantic cod). Its description in RNAcentral is "gmo-miR-11934-3p". The record is from miRBase by way of RNAcentral. Lineage: Eukaryota; Metazoa; Chordata; Actinopteri; Gadiformes; Gadidae.